Molecule: long non-coding RNA, 103 nt
Organism: Melanotaenia boesemani (Boeseman's rainbowfish)
Lineage: Eukaryota; Metazoa; Chordata; Actinopteri; Atheriniformes; Melanotaeniidae
Exons: 3
Source: RefSeq, a predicted model, not a curated record
GUAAAUGGACAUGAAAGUGUCCCUAAAAUGGUCCAGAGUACUCUCUUCUCAUCAGCUUGAGAAAACUUAAUUUCAAUUUUAAUGUUUAAUUUCAACAUUGGUG